UUUCCAGUAGGGUUUCUUUGGAAGAAGUAUUCAAGAGGCUUAACAGCAUCUGCUGUCAGGUUGCAGGUGUGUCCCUCAGAACCUUGUUCUAAUUUGGAUGAGGGAUGGAUCCUGACCUCUCGAGCACUUUCCCCACGUUGUUCUCCCACGACACCCAUGACGUGCUGCCGGUCUCCACCACUUUUACUGUGAACUUCUCAUCUACCAAGAAUUGUGUCUCCUCAGCAGCACCCUGCAUGCCAUGACACACCCUAGAUGUUCAAGAAAUGUUUACUGACCGAAUCAAUUCACUCACCUCUGUCUUGUCCUUCUCAAGAGCAGCUGACAGCUACUGGCAUCUAUGCAGUGGGCAUUGCUUGGGUGCCUUUCCUGUGCCUAUGGUAAGGCAGUGAGGAUCCAGAAAUAAAGUGGAGGUCAUCUAUGAGGAACCCACUCUGUGCCAGCCAUCAUGCUCAGCACUUUG
RNAcentral lists this long non-coding RNA (463 nucleotides) under Homo sapiens (human). Its description in RNAcentral is "HSALNT0098307". Lineage: Eukaryota; Metazoa; Chordata; Mammalia; Primates; Hominidae. The record is from RNAcentral.